Molecule: ribosomal RNA, 792 nt
Filed under: Metaphire vulgaris
Lineage: Eukaryota; Metazoa; Annelida; Clitellata; Crassiclitellata; Megascolecidae
Description: 12S ribosomal RNA
Source: RNAcentral
CCAGUUUGAUUCUGACUGUAAAAUUAACACCGACCAACCAAUAUACAUGUAAAAUAUUUUAUGCCCGCACUAAUAAAACACCUAAAUGAUAUAUAAUUGUAUUCAGGUAUUCUCAAUACAACAGAGCGCCACAGUAAAUAACACUUUUCAAUUUGAGAAAUUAAGAAAAGGGUAUGGUAUAAGGGCUGGCAAAAUUCGUGCCAGCUGCCGCGGUUAGACGAAAAGCCCAAGUUAAUACAAUAUAAACUAAAUUAAUGAUAAAAUAAAAAAUAACAAAGGUCUAAUUUUCAAAAUCUAUGCUCCACGCUUAUCACAUAAAAAUGAAAUCAUGAACUAAAACAUGGAUUAGAUACCCACCUAUUCAUGACAUAAACUAUAGCUGAAUAUUACGAACAACAGUUUAAAAUUCAAAGAUUUUGGCGGUGUCUUAUAAAACCAGGGGAACCUGUCUCAUAACUCGAUAAUCCACGAACACCAAACCCUCUCUAGAAUUCCAGCAUGUGUACUGCCGUUGUAAGCAUACCCUUAAAAGAAUAAGUGUGCUACUAUGACCCCAAAAGACUCAUAUACAUCAGGUCAAAGUGCAGCCAAUAAGAGGGUGAUGAUGGGUUACAACCCUAAAAUAGACUAUCAAAUAAGAAAUUAAAAAUCUUACGAAAGUGGACUUGGUCGUAAUCAACUUAUAUAAUAAAAAAAUGAAUAUAAAUCUAAGACAUGCACACAUCGCCCGUCACUCUAUCCAAAAGGUUAGAUAAGUCGUAACAAAGUAGGUGUAAUGGAAAUUGCACCUGU